Molecule: ribosomal RNA, 119 nt
Filed under: Tupaia belangeri chinensis (Chinese tree shrew)
Lineage: Eukaryota; Metazoa; Chordata; Mammalia; Scandentia; Tupaiidae
Source: RNAcentral
GUCUACGGCCAUACCAUCCUGAACGCGCCCGAUCUCGUCUGAUCUCGGAAGCUAAGCAGGGUCGGGCCUGGUUAGUACUUGGAUGGGAGACCGCCUGAGAAUACCGGGUGCUGUAGGCU